Molecule: long non-coding RNA, 1028 nt
Organism: Brienomyrus brachyistius
Lineage: Eukaryota; Metazoa; Chordata; Actinopteri; Osteoglossiformes; Mormyridae
Exons: 2
Source: RefSeq, a predicted model, not a curated record
CACUACAGAUAAAUGUGUCUUUUUUUCAGGGAGUAAAGGAUAGCAGACGUAAUUAGCCAAGUUUGCAUUGGUGUGAAGGAGGAUGUGACUCGAUCAAAAACUUCCUCUUUCAUGCAUUCUGUUAUUCUAAUUGUUCAGUUCUCUUUAACUGGUGUUUAAAUGGUAUGUUUCGCAUGGUAUAUUAUUGCGUUAUGCCGCCACCUAGUGGCGCAUUUUAUUGUAAAAUUUCGCAUGCAAGCAGGAAGUCGCUUUAGUUUCGUUUAGUAAGCAGGUAGUGAGCGUAUUUCCUGCUUCUCUGCAACGGUAUUCUCAUCAUGCUUCGCUUUGGACAUCAUUCGUCUGUAAGUGAAUGUGCUUAAUUUAAUUUGUGAUAACUCUGUUUAAUUUACAGUACUCAGUGAGGCAGAAGUAUUUCAAUUAUAAAUCAAUCUUGUUUUAGUUUGUUUAAUGCUUGCUAACUAUGCUAGGUUUGUAUUGUACAAUGAUCGCUUUUAAAACGGCAUUAUAAUGCAUUACUUAGUUGUAAGGGAUUUAAGUUCAUUUUAGUCUAUUUUACUAUUACUAAUUGUACAUGUGUAUUUUUAUACAUUUUCUUACGCGAGGGCAGCAUGCUAAUAUUCCUAUUUUCUUAUCUGUUUUAAAUGCGCCUGUCGAUACAUUAGGCAACAUAGGAGGCUGCAUAAGGCGCCAUCUUCUGAGGGGGCGCCAACUUAGCAAACCACCAGCGCCACCCUCUUCCCCGCCCGGUCCGAGGAGCAUGUACAAAACCGGGCAAGAAAAAGUAACAUGCGGUGCUAAAGUUUGAAGCUCGCCUAAAGCGUCGACCGGCACAGCUGUAGGAUAUUGUACAUUGUUUUUCCCCCCUUUGAAGCUGGUGACCCACACUUACCAACACGGCUCUCUGUACAGUUUAGCAGAAGUGAAAUGCAGGCAGGUGGCCGACAGCCGAACAGAGGGGCGUAUGCAGGCUUUGCUGAAGGCGAUGCAGCUUAAGAUGGUUUUGUGGUAAUAAAACAGGCUAUUUUUAA